Triticum aestivum (bread wheat) is the source of this 4679-nucleotide long non-coding RNA. RefSeq lists it as uncharacterized. The record is from RefSeq and is a predicted model, not a curated record. The transcript is spliced from 4 exons. NCBI's taxonomy places the organism in Eukaryota, Viridiplantae, Streptophyta, Magnoliopsida, Poales, Poaceae.
UAUGAAGGCCAGUCAACAUUUGGACCGUUGAUGUCGAAUCCGACCACGCAUGCAGACCUGAUCAUCCCAUCUCCAAUCCCCAAUCCUAUGCUUCCAAUGCCGCGGAAUCGAGCAGAGGCCACCGCCGUCGGCGUCGCCGGCCUCCCGCCGGACAUGCUAGCCCACAUCCAAGCCCGCCUGUGUGUGCGCCACCGCCUCGUCCUGCCCGGCGACACCCCGAACACAGCCACGCUCUUCUCGCUCGCGUACCGCCGCCCCGCCGUCGUGCGCGCCCCGGGGCCCGACCACCUCGUCCUCGGAUCCUCAUCCUCCCGCGGGUGGCUCGUCACCGCUGAUGCCUUCGCCCGGCCUCGCCUCGUCAACCCGGUCACCGGCGAGCAGCGGGCCCCCGGCCAUCGAGACCAUCCCCUGUGUCUUCGCGUUCGAGGAGAAGCCGUUCAUCAGGGGGGCCCCGCCGUACCCCGACGGAUUCGCAGUGACGACCCCCGGCUCGAUGCGCCGCUACUUCUACCGCAAGGUCGUCCUCUCCGACUCCGCCGCCAUCGCCAUGCUCAUCACCGAUCUACGGUACGCGGAGGGACGCGUGUGGAGGCUAGUGCCCUCGCGCCACGGCAUAACCAAGGCCGGGACCAAGUGUGCCAGGUGGCCGAGGCCGCCCUCGCGUGACAGCAUCGAGGCCGCCGUCCUCCACGAGGGCAGGUUCUACUCGAUCACUUACUCCGGCGAGGUGGAGGCGUGGGAGCAGGACGCCGAUGGUACCGGCGUGUUCACGAGUGUGGUGGUAGCGCCAGGGCAGCCCUGGUGCGACCACCGCAAGUACCUGGUGACAGCCGGGUGGUCGGCUGAUGCUCGUGCUCAAGCAGUCUGAUACGAUCAAGCAUCGGUUGACAUUCAAGGUGAAGGUCCUUACGCUGGCGCCGAGCAAUGGAAGGCGGCGGGCGACAUCAGCGACGCCGCGCUGUUUGUCGGGGUGAACGGUUCGCUGUGCGUGUCAAGGAGGGAGCACCUGAGCUUAGGGCCGGCUGCGUCUACCACACCGCCGACGAUCUGUCGCUGUACUACCUCGACAACCAGCCGGGGUGUUCAGCCUCAAGGACGUCAGGGAGGAGAAGGUCGAGGGCCUUGGGCCGCACCGGAACAAGCCACCAUCGGCGUGGUUCACGCUUUGCAUCCCAUGACAGGUUUCAUGAUUGAUUCGGAUUUGGUAGCUUGGGUGGGUUAACUUGCAUUUCACAAAACAUCAAACAAGGGUGAGUGGCCAUUUUAGCUAGGUCGCUUUCAAGUUUUUCUGAGGAAACAUUGGGUGGGUUAAUCAGUUUCAACUUUAUGCUAUGAUGGUGAUUUCAACCAAGAUUGUUAAUCAAUUAAUUGUUGCCUUGUGAGGUUUCUGGAUUAACAGGUUUAAUUUCAGAAGAGAGCAGUAGUUAUAAUGAUCUAUUCCGAACUGCAACCAAGCUAACAGCAAGCUGCACUUGUUUUCUAGCCCUUUAGGUUAUCAAAGGGAUGCAUUGCAGUGUUGUAGCAUGGUUAUCACACCCUGCCUCUAGCAGGCUGCUGGAUAUCAUAUUCAAAUCAUAUCUUCAUGUAGUUUGUGAAAAAGAAUCAGAUAUACAUUUGUUAAUUAAGACCCCACUUAUGCCCAGCUAACCCACCUAAGUUUGCAGCAGGGCUAGCUAAGGUAGUGUACCCUAUUUAGCUUAUGAAUACAGCACUAUAUGCAUGUGCUGCUGAUGUUGCCUGGGUGACAUUUUUUUUAAGACAGUGGGGUUUCAGAAGUAUGAAAACAAUUUAGCUUGCAGGGUUCAGACUUGGUAUUAAUUUGGUCACGUUGAUGAUCAAGGUUAGUUUACUGGUUGAUGAUCAAGGUUAGUUUGGGCACUUCAGAUGUGAGGGGCAGGGUGUUGAGAGGGUACAGUACAUUAGCUGCCAAAUCGGUGGCGUUUGGUUUGCAUUCUUAAGCAAGCAUUUGAUGCCUUUGAUUAUCAAAAGGAACCAAACUGUUGUUUUUGCCCAUUUCUGUUGCUGCUGGAGUAACAUCCUCUGCUUUCUUUUACGUCCCAGCAGAGCAUCACUCCUACUGCAGUGCACUUUUAUCAAGAUAUAUACAUACUGUACUACAUAGUGAGGUUUCGGUAAUAACUAAAUAUAGCACUUUGGGAACAAAAUAUAAUUUAAGAUAUGCAACAAGGAACAUGGAGCAUCAUAAUUUUAAGAUAUGUUGGUAGCAUAGCACCCCACCUCCGCAAAGCGGACAAGCUGUGAGCUCAUUGGCACCGUGGUUGUUUCUUCCUGGAAGUUUCCCACAAGCUGUGAGGGACGAUUCAUGUAGACAUAUCCAAGGUUGUUAGCUUCAUUUCGAUCAUUCUCCUGUGCUUUUGGCAGUGAGCGCUUGUCGGCGGCAAGCAGCACCGAUCCAGGUGAGCAUGUCCCCCUUGAACUGAGCCUUCUUCUGCAGCUUGAUUUCUGCUUCUGCGUUCCACAUACUUUUUUUUUGCUUCACUGCGCUGUUAAAAUUAGAAUACAGCGAGCUAUUUUGGCUUAGUACCAACUUCAGUUCAAACUUGAGGAAAAAAAUGAUGAUUGCAAAGCUUAGUGUGCAGGAAUCAGAUUUAAUUUUGUCCAAAGAUGAUUGCAACCAAGAUUAUUAAUUGAUUAUUUCCUUGUGAGGUUUAAUUCAGAACUGAACAGAAGAGAGCAGUUAUUAUAAUUAUGUAUACCAAACUGCAACCAAGCUAACAAGCUAACAAGCCGCACUUGAUUUCCAGGAUCAAUAGAUUAUUUCGAAAGGACAUUAUUGCAGUGUGCAGCAGAGCUAGCUAAGGUUUUCGUUCAACGGGAGUAAGGGAAACAACUGGAGUAAAUAGCAAAAAGCUACCACAUUACAGGCUAGGGACAAAAAUAGACGUCCAGACUCCAACCACCAUGAGUUUAUCUUCCUUUGGGAAAUUGGGAUUGUUAGUGCCCUCAAUGAUUGCAUCACUUUGUAUCAGUGGGCCAAAUCUGCCAUUUCAUCUCUUCACUCCAGAUGGAGUAGUUCACAGGAGGAGCAAAGUCUCCAGGAUCGUGUGUGUAUUACAGUUGGAGAGUGGCCUACAACUUCUCAGGGAUACUCUUUCCUGCAAUGCAUGACCACACUAAUAAAGCAGAGUGUGGCAAAGCCAUGAACACGGUGUGGCCAUGCUCCUCCCGAAUCUGAAGGAUGCAGUGUCUGAGGCCGAGGAGUUCACAUGGUACGAGAAGAAGGUGCAAAUAGAGGGUGAUACAAGCCAGUCUCCUUUCACUGAAUUCUUUGAUACGGUCGUCCCCGGCAGCUUCAACAAGCAGUUUCGUGGACACUUGGAGGUAGCUAAUGUUGGCAUCCUAAGCAAGGAUGAUGCAGCAGAAGCAGAACUGAAGAAUAAGAAGGAUCUUGACCAGUUGACACUGAAGGUGCAUCCACGGAGGCCUCAAACGAUCCAGGAUAAUGAGUUAGAACUGCUUCACAUUCUGCAACCUCCUAUAACUCUCAAGUCUCUGUUCCUCCAGAAUUUUGCGAGAUGUUAGCAUCGGCAACAACUGAAAAGUUUGGGGAUUUCCAUUUCCUUGAAGAACUGCAAAUGGUCCGUUGUCCAAACAUUUGCACCCAAAGAUUGGUAUCGCCGUCCCUUAAGAAGCUCAGCAUGUGGGGUUCUGGUCUCUUUAGCCACAUUGAGUGCUGCCCCCUCACCUACUUUCAUUUGAAAUGUGAGUUUGUCAUGUCCAUCCAAUUACAAAUGUGGUGUCUUCCAGCUCUACGGAAGUUGCACAUUGAGUGCAUAUCUCUUACAUCAAUUGGAGGCUCCGCAAACCUUUCCAUUUCUGCAGACACCGGCAGCAUUACUACAUUCUCAUCCCUUGAUGUCCUAACAGUUACAUGCUGUGAUAAAUUGUCAACCCUUGAUGGCUCCUAACACAAGAAUACCUACCUUCUAUUGAGUACAUUCACGUCGACAGUUGCCACGAGUUACUGUCCUUGCCAGGUGAAAGGUUUAGGAGUUCUGCUUAUCUUAAAGAUCUGGUGAUUAUUGAGUGCCGAAGUCUCAACUGGCAAAGGGGAUUGGUAUUGCCAUCAUCUCUCCGAAGGCUCAGCUUAGAGUGGUGUGGGGAUAUCUCUCCAUAUGUUCCCAGCUGCCUACGAAACCUCACUGAGGAUUGCUCGAUGCCCAGGUGACAUUAGGCAUAGUAAUCUUACAUCACUUGAGUUGUUGGAGAUUUGGGGUUGUCCAGACCUAGUUUGAUAUGGUGGAGCAAUGGCAGUUGCAAAAAUGAAGAAUGUGGUGAUAUACAGGUGUCCAAAGUUGAAGGAAGCGGAUCAGAAGAUCCUGCCCAAGUACGAGGACGACUAGUUGACAGGCGACUGCGCUGGAACCUGUAGCUGCAAUACCUGGGAGCUGGAAGACCUGGGGACAACGAGAUGUCAUGCCCUUGGUCUCGCCGUCUCUGUCUAUAUAUCCGUGACUGCUUCUCCCUUAUUGCAGUUACAUUCUGUCAAUUAUUAUUUCCCAUACCUGUGGCGAUAACUAUGAGUUUCCACUUUGGACAGUGAUAAACUUGUUUAACCUAUGAAACGACAGAGUUGCCGUGUGUCUGUAAGACAUGUCGUAACUGUAUGAAUUUGUUUGUUUCGUUGCAUCUUAACUCCGGAAUAUGUCUACCUGCCA